Non-coding RNA from Microcebus murinus (gray mouse lemur), 337 nucleotides. NCBI's taxonomy places the organism in Eukaryota, Metazoa, Chordata, Mammalia, Primates, Cheirogaleidae. The record is from RefSeq and is a predicted model, not a curated record.
CCUGAGCAGAGCACACCCUCAAAUGUCUGCAGCUGGGCUUGGUUUACAGGCAAACUUAGGAGACUUGGCUGCAGUUGAAAAGGUAUGUAUGUGUCCACUGGAUGUUAAGUCCAAUGCCUUAACCACUCAGCCAUCCCUGUGAUUAUAGGCUACAACAUUGAAGGACAUGUCUUGGUUUCAGAGUGUGAAAGAGACCUGCAAUGGCUAAGUCAUGCAUUCAAGUGAUAGACAUGGAGUGAGUUCAACCUCUUGCCUGCUUCAAUGGCAGUCUGGCUGGAACCUAACGUUCUAACAUUGCAAGAGAGGGAAGAAACAGCACGUCAGUCACGAUUUAAGG